Molecule: ribosomal RNA, 208 nt
Filed under: uncultured bacterium
Lineage: Bacteria
Description: partial 16S ribosomal RNA
Rfam family: Bacterial small subunit ribosomal RNA
Source: RNAcentral
UGCGUAGGUGGCGCCAUAAGUCAGGUGUGAAAUCUCGGGGCUUAACUCCGAAACUGCAUUUGAUACUGUGGUGCUUGAGGACUGGAGAGGAGACUGGAAUUCACGGUGUAGCAGUGAAAUGCGUAGAUAUCGUGAGGAAGACCAGUGGCGAAGGCGGGUCUCUGGACAGUUCCUGACACUGAGGCACAAGGGCCAGGGGAGGCAAACG